RNAcentral lists this ribosomal RNA (492 nucleotides) under uncultured bacterium. RNAcentral describes it as "partial 16S ribosomal RNA". It matches the Rfam family "Bacterial small subunit ribosomal RNA", at positions 29 to 507 of the family's 1533-position model. The record is from RNAcentral.
AGUGAACGCUGGCGGUAGGCCUAACACAUGCAGGUCGAACGGCAGCACAGUAAGAGCUUGCUCUUACGGGUGGCGAGUGGCGGACGGGUGAGGAAUACAUCGGAAUCUACUUUUUCGUGGGGGAUAACGUAGGGAAACUUACGCUAAUACCGCAUACGACCUACGGGUGAAAGCAGGGGAUCUUCGGACCUUGCGCGAUUGAAUGAGCCGAUGUCGGAUUAGCUAGUUGGCGGGGUAAAGGCCCACCAAGGCGACGAUCCGUAGCUGGUCUGAGAGGAUGAUCAGCCACACUGGAACUGAGACACGGUCCAGGCUCCUACGGGAGGCAGCAGUGGGGAAUAUUGGACAAUGGGCGCAAGCCUGAUCCAGCCAUACCGCGUGGGUGAAGAAGGCCUUCGGGUUGUAAAGCCCUUUUGUUGGGAAAGAAAAGCAGCAGGUUAAUACCCCGCUGUUCUGACGGUACCCAAAGAAUAAGCACCGGCUAACUUCGUG